GACGAACGCUGGCGGCGUGCUUAACACAUGCAAGUCGAACGGAAAGGCCCCCUUGUGGGGUACUCGAGUGGCGAACGGGUGAGUAACACGUGAGUAACCUACCCUUGACUUUGGGAUAACUUCAGGAAACUGGGGCUAAUACCGGAUAGGAGCUCCUGCUACAUGGUGGGGGUUGGAAAGUUUCGGCGGUUGGGGAUGGACUCGCGGCUUAUCAGCUUGUUGGUGGGGUAGUGGCUCACCAAGGCUUUGACGGGUAGCCGGCCUGAGAGGGUGACCGGCCACAUUGGGACUGAGAUACGGCCCAGACUCCUACGGGAGGCAGCAGUGGGGAAUAUUGCACAAUGGGCGGAAGCCUGAUGCAGCAACGCCGCGUGCGGGAUGACGGCCUUCGGGUUGUAAACCGCUUCCGCCUGUGACGAAGCGUGAGUGACGGUAAUGGGUAAAGAAGCACCGGCUAACUACGUG
This 465-nucleotide ribosomal RNA is filed under the name uncultured bacterium. RNAcentral's name for it is "partial 16S ribosomal RNA". It matches the Rfam family "Bacterial small subunit ribosomal RNA", at positions 28 to 507 of the family's 1533-position model. The record is from RNAcentral.